AUGAACGCUGGCGGCGUGCCUAAUACAUGCAAGUCGAGCGAACGGACGAGAAGCUUGCUUCUCUGAUGUUAGCGGCGGACGGGUGAGUAACACGUGGAUAACCUACCUAUAAGACUGGGAUAACUUCGGGAAACCGGAGCUAAUACCGGAUAAUAUUUUGAACCGCAUGGUUCAAAAGUGAAAGACGGUCUUGCUGUCACUUAUAGAUGGAUCCGCGCUGCAUUAGCUAGUUGGUAAGGUAACGGCUUACCAAGGCAACGAUGCAUAGCCGACCUGAGAGGGUGAUCGGCCACACUGGAACUGAGACACGGGCCAGACUCCUACGGGAGGCAGCAGUAGGGAAUCUUCCGCAAUGGGCGAAAGCCUGACGGAGCAACGCCGCGUGAGUGAUGAAGGUCUUCGGAUCGUAAAACUCUGUUAUUAGGGAAGAACAUAUGUGUAAGUAACUGUGCACAUCUUGACGGUACCUAAUCAGAAAGCCACGGCUAACUACGU
RNAcentral lists this ribosomal RNA (495 nucleotides) under uncultured bacterium. Its description in RNAcentral is "partial 16S ribosomal RNA". It matches the Rfam family "Bacterial small subunit ribosomal RNA", at positions 29 to 506 of the family's 1533-position model. The record is from RNAcentral.